This 253-nucleotide ribosomal RNA is filed under the name uncultured bacterium. RNAcentral's name for it is "partial 16S ribosomal RNA". It matches the Rfam family "Bacterial small subunit ribosomal RNA", at positions 524 to 776 of the family's 1533-position model. The record is from RNAcentral.
GACAGAGGGUGCAAACGUUGUUCGGAAUUACUGGGCGUAAAGGGCGCGUAGGCGGAUAGUUUAGUCAGAGGUAAAAGCCCAGGGCUCAACCUUGGAACUGCCUUUGAUACUGGCUAUCUUGAGUUCGGGAGAGGUGAGUGGAAUGCCGAGUGUAGAGGUGAAAUUCGUAGAUAUUCGGCGGAACACCAGUGGCGAAGGCGACUCACUGGCCCGAUACUGACGCUGAGGCGCGAAAGCGUGGGGAGCAAACAGG